Long non-coding RNA from Micropterus dolomieu (smallmouth bass), 766 nucleotides. RefSeq lists it as uncharacterized. NCBI's taxonomy places the organism in Eukaryota, Metazoa, Chordata, Actinopteri, Centrarchiformes, Centrarchidae. The transcript has 3 exons. The record is from RefSeq and is a predicted model, not a curated record.
CAACAGUGUACAGAAGGUUGGAUGUUGAUUCUGCUGACUGUCCAAUAUAAUGCAUGAGAAAAAUCGCAGGCCCACCUAACAGACUUUAAUGGGCCACCCAGGGGUGUUAAAUCGCCCCAGAACUUGCAAGCCUCUCUGCGCUAUCCGGUCCAGCACAGGAGCCCUGCUGGAGACGCCUUUCCUCCUGGAGCCCCUGUCAAAAUCUCUGCAACAGAUCAGCCCGAGAUCCCCUCUCAUAGACAGAUGAAAGUCUGCUACCGAUCCUUCACCUCUCACCUUCCCUGCAAUCAUCUCAUUCCCCUCAGCCGAUUUUCCCCAGGUUUGCCCACCUCCUCACCUGCAUCUCAUUCCUCAUUAGUCCCUCAGUACUUAUACAGCCCCAACUUCAUUCACUUUUUGUUUGUUUGUGUAGUGUGCAUUGCCUACCUUUCCAGUAGACAGUUUUGCUUGAGAUUUGGUCUUUACAGGAAGAUAGAAAUAGACAUUCAACUAAAAAUGAGCUGAACAAAGAUUGGUAAAAAUAAACAUACAACUAAUACACAUACAAGUAGGUGAAAAUGCAUAAUAAUGCAGGUGUUGUCUAUGAUAAGGUCCCUAUUAUUUCAGUUGAUAUGAUUUAGUAGUUCACCUAAUGCACAAGCUACAUGUACAUACACCGACGCCCACAAACCAAGAACCUGACCACUGUUUUCUUCAUGAGAGAGCAGAGGGCAUAAAGUCCUAAACACACUUCCUCAUGUGUAUUUUCUUUGAGCGUUGGUUGAAA